UACGGGGGGAGCAAGCGUUGUUCGGAUUUACUGGGCGUAAAGGGCGCGUAGGCGGCCAGCACAAGUCAGUUGUGAAAUCUCCGAGCUUAACUCGGAAAGGUCAACUGAUACUGUGCGGCUAGAGUGCGGAAGGGGCAACUGGAAUUCUUGGUGUAGCGGUGAAAUGCGUAGAUAUCAAGAGGAACACCUGCGGCGAAGGCGGGUUGCUGGGCCGACACUGACGCUGAGGCGCGCAAGCCAGGGGAGCGAACGGG
Molecule: ribosomal RNA, 254 nt
Filed under: uncultured bacterium
Lineage: Bacteria
Description: partial 16S ribosomal RNA
Rfam family: Bacterial small subunit ribosomal RNA
Source: RNAcentral